GGUCAUCAUGCAUCAGUUAAUAAAACUUUGGACCAACUAAGGAUUUUUGUAGCCAAUGAGAUGGACUUGAUUGACCAUGCAUGUAUUGUAAAAUUUUAUUACCAUUGUUCCGCCUUUUUGUUUGACAUUUUUCCAGUUCUUUGUCAGAUAUUUUAGUCUAGGCAUUCAAUUCUAUGGGUGACUGAUUUCCCAAUUUUUGGGUGGAAUGAUACAGAGCAGAGGCUUGAGGUUUGUGGAUUCCUGCAACAGAACUGCCUAAACUGCCUAUUACUUUAAAUUGUGGAUUCCUGCAACAGAACUUCAGAAAAUUAAAUUAUUGUGCCCCUGCCUGAUAAUCUGACAAGUGCUAUCAUGUUGUGCUCUCCUUUUGCACUAGUGUUUAACUAAUGACAAAUAAUAUUGGCUUCCUUGUACGAUUAGCCUUGAGUUUGGUCAAGGAAUUUGUGCAGUGAGCAUAAAAAAGAAUCAAAUUUAACUUCUGUGUGG
RNAcentral lists this unclassified non-coding RNA (486 nucleotides) under Hevea brasiliensis (rubber tree). The record is from RNAcentral. Lineage: Eukaryota; Viridiplantae; Streptophyta; Magnoliopsida; Malpighiales; Euphorbiaceae.